RNAcentral lists this ribosomal RNA (445 nucleotides) under uncultured bacterium. RNAcentral's name for it is "bacterial SSU rRNA". It matches the Rfam family "Bacterial small subunit ribosomal RNA", at positions 335 to 797 of the family's 1533-position model. The record is from RNAcentral.
UUGCCUACGGGGGGCAGCAGUGGGGAAUCUUGCACAAUGGGGGAAACCCUGAUGCAGCGACGCCGCGUGAGCGAUGAAGCCCUUCGGGGUGUAAAGCUCUUUCGGCAGGAACGAUAAUGACGGUACCUGCAGAAGAAGCUGCGGCUAACUACGUGCCAGCAGCCGCGGUAAUACGUAGGCAGCAAGCGUUGUUCGGGGUUACUGGGCGUAAAGAGUGCGUAGGCGGUCCUCUAAGUUCGGUGUGAAAUCUCCCGGCUCAACUGGGAGGGUGCGCCGGAAACUGGAGGGCUUGAGUAUGGGAGAGGAAAGCGGAAUUCCUGGUGUAGCGGUGAAAUGCGUAGAUAUCAGGAGGAACACCUGUGGUGUAGACGGCUUUCUGGACCAUGACUGACGCUGAGGCACGAAAGCGUGGGGAGCAAACAGGAUUAGAUACCCCGGUAGUCCA